UACAGAGGGUGCAAGCGUUGUCCGGAAUCACUGGGCGUAAAGGGCGCGUAGGCGGCCUGAUAAGUCGGGGGUGAAAUUCUGCGGCUUAACCGCAGGACGGCCUUCGAGACUGUCGGGCUUGAGCACGGUAGAGGCUGGUGGAAUUCCCGGUGUAGCGGUGGAAUGCGUAGAGAUCGGGAAGAACAUCGGUGGCGAAGGCGGCCAGCUGGGCCGUUGCUGACGCUGAGGCGCGACAGCGUGGGGAGCAAACAGGAUUAGAUACCCUGGUAGUCCACGCCGUAAACGAUGGGUACUAGGCGUCGGGGGGAGCGACCCCUUCGGUGCCGUCGCUAACGCAGUAAGUACCCCGCCUGGGGAGUACGGCCGCAAGGCUGAA
RNAcentral lists this ribosomal RNA (376 nucleotides) under uncultured bacterium. Its description in RNAcentral is "bacterial SSU rRNA". It matches the Rfam family "Bacterial small subunit ribosomal RNA", at positions 524 to 898 of the family's 1533-position model. The record is from RNAcentral.